GGUCACUGCGUGCAGGCUUGCGCGUUACUACGGGUGAUGCGAGCGUUUUCCGGAAUUAGUGGGCGUAAGGCUUCCUUAGGUGGCUAGUCAAGUCUGCGGUCCAAGUCUGGGGCUUAGCCCUGGAAAGGCCGUGGAAACUGACGAGCUAGAGUGCAGUAGGGGUAGAGGGAAUUCCCGGUGUAGCGGUGAAAUGCGUAGAGCUCGGGAAGAACAUCGGUGGCGAAAGCGCUCUACUGGACUGCAACUGACACUCAGGGACGAAAGCUAGGGGAGCGAAUGGGAUUAGAUACCCCUGUAGUC
Molecule: ribosomal RNA, 300 nt
Filed under: uncultured Peptococcus sp.
Lineage: Bacteria; Bacillati; Bacillota; Clostridia; Eubacteriales; Peptococcaceae
Description: bacterial SSU rRNA
Rfam family: Bacterial small subunit ribosomal RNA
Source: RNAcentral